Canis lupus familiaris (dog) is the source of this 1464-nucleotide long non-coding RNA. RefSeq lists it as uncharacterized. Lineage: Eukaryota; Metazoa; Chordata; Mammalia; Carnivora; Canidae. The record is from RefSeq and is a predicted model, not a curated record. The transcript is spliced from 2 exons.
GGCCCCUGGUGGCGGAGGGGACACUGCGGCGUGGCGCCGGGAGCGCUAGGAAAGGGGCUUGGCGGAUGGCCCCAAAGAUGCCCCGACCUUGGUGGCCCGCAGGGACUCUUAACACGCCUGGCGGCUCCCACAGUGACCCGGAGCCGCCGGAACCUCCGGAGAUGCGGGCGGGAUGCUCUCCCAGGGGGUACAACUUUGGAAAUGAGGAGAAAGGUGCAGUAAACUGGCGACCUUAGGAGGAUAGAGGCACUCUGUGACAGCACUUUGGGCAGACACCAGAGCCAGAAUGGCGAGGAAGGACACUGCUGGAAGGAGUGUCUGUGGGGUAUUUCAUCCACUCCAGUACCGCGGAGUGCCACCAGCAUGACCCUGGUACCUCAGCCAGAGAACGUUUUCAGUUGUCAAAACAGAAGAGAAGCCAGGUGGCAUCUGUAUAACCUGGACUUUGCAGGGCCUGAUGAUGAUCACGUUUCAGCAUUUCCAAUUAAUCUUGGAAUGAGAGCCCAAGGCAAGAAGCCAGUGGUGCCUGAGGAAUGCUAAAGAGCAAACCGAUCCAGGGAAACAAAUGCCAGCAAGGGACCCCACAGCAAAGAGACAGACACUGUGAGCAACUCUCCUGUUACCAUGAGGCUUGCGAGGCGUGUGCGCGGGUCUCCGCAUUGGCACCAUCUGCCAAUUCCUCAGGAGGACAGAACAAACCAGCGAGGCAUGAAGAUUAGAUUAUGUAACGCUCGAGGAUUGCUGUUUUCAAAGAGGAAACAAAUGGAACAAAUUGAUUUGUUUGUCAGAGUCAUGUCACUGUCAGAGACCCGUUCCCUCCUUCUCCAAGAGGACCUCAUUAAAGGGGGAAAUGAUUGCACAGAUUCACAACAUGUGAGACCACAAUCAGCUCCAUUCAUAAGAACAAGUCCAAUUUCCAGAGUUGCACUGAUAAAUCCUGCUCUGUCCCCUUGCCAGAAAAAUGACUAUUCCCUACUACCUACUAGGUACUGACAUGGCAAGGAACGUAACUGCCAGUCGCCUGUCACAAGAUUCAGAACCUGAGUGCUUUCCUGAACUGACCUCACUUGCUUCUGCGGGAGCAGUAGCCAAUUUUGAGACCAGUGGGGUCAUGUUUACUAUUCAGAGCUCUAAACAGGUGCUUUGAUAGAGUGGGGAUGUAUUCUUAAAAAUACAUGCAUCAGUAACAUUGUAUGGUGACAGAUGGUAACUACGCUCAUCUUGGUGAGCCCUGAGUAAUGUAUAGAGUUGUUGAAUCAGUGUUGUGCACCUGAAACUAAGAGAAUAUUGUAUAUCAACUAUACUUUGAUAAUUAAUUUUUUUCACUUACAUGGGGCAAGAAGGAGAAUUCAUCGCAUGUCUGGGAUUCUUUUGCCAUUGCUGGGCCUCUCUCAAAAUGCUAAGCAGAAUAAUUUUUAUGGUCACGUUCAGUAGAAGAAUAAAUGAAUAAACAAUAACCCUGAA